UGGGGAAUUUUGGACAAUGGGCGCAAGCCUGAUCCAGCCAUACCGCGUGAGUGAAGAAGGCCUUCGGGUUGUAAAGCUCUUUCAGACGGAAAGAAACGGUUACGGCUAAUACCCGUGACUAAUGACGGUACCGUAAGAAGAAGCACCGGCUAACUACGUGCCAGCAGCCGCGGUAAUACGUAGGGUGCGAGCGUUAAUCGGAAUUACUGGGCGUAAAGCGUGCGCAGGCGGUUUGGUAAGACAGAUGUGAAAUCCCCGGGCUUAACCUGGGAACUGCAUUUGUGACUGCCAGGCUAGGGUGUAGCAGAGGGGGGUAGAAUUCCACGUGUAGCAGUGAAAUGCGUAGAUAUGUGGAGGAAUACCGAUGGCGAAGGCAGCCCCCUGGGCUAACACUGACGCUCAUGCACGAAAGCGUGGGGAGCAAACAGGAUUAGAUACCCCAGUAGUCCCUGAGCGGGCUGGCAAGGCGCAU
Molecule: ribosomal RNA, 472 nt
Filed under: uncultured bacterium
Lineage: Bacteria
Description: bacterial SSU rRNA
Rfam family: Bacterial small subunit ribosomal RNA
Source: RNAcentral